This 2508-nucleotide long non-coding RNA is filed under the name Homo sapiens (human). RNAcentral describes it as "non-protein coding lnc-VASP-1:1". Lineage: Eukaryota; Metazoa; Chordata; Mammalia; Primates; Hominidae. The record is from RNAcentral.
AGCAGUUGCCUCUUUGGGUUGUUGUGAGGCUUCUAUGCUAAUCUUGAGUGUAAAACAGUGGACCAUGGGAAGUGGUUAGAAUGGUGCCAUUCAUAUAGUUAAGCGCUCAGUAAAUAGCCCUUCUUACUAUACAGGUCAUGAUUGCAUUAUUAAUGCUAAAUCCAGCCUGAGGGUGCAUUUCACCCCCAGAAGCAGCGAAUCCAACCCUUUCCCAAGUAACUGACAAGGAAACUGAGGCCCAGAGCAGGGCAGGGGGUGGCACAAGGUUCCUGCAGAGGUUGAUAGCCUGGCAUCUUGGCCAAUAAAACCAUACCCGUUCUCAAGCAACCCAACUUCCUUCAUUAGGAGGUAGGUUCCCCAGGGAGCUAGUUCAGAAAUAAAUUUAAGGACAUGUCCCAGACUGUCCUUUCUUACCCAGCAGGGAGUAAAAUCAUAUAAACAAUGUCAGGAAGGGGUUGAGAGAAAUUCCUGGAUGAUGGAGUGCUGAUGGGUAAUUGAGAGAUUCUCGGAGGCAGAGGGACAGAAGAAAACAGGAACAGAGGACUGGCCGCCAUGGCUCACGCCUGUAAUCCCAGCACUUUGGGAGGCUGAGGAGGGUGGAUCACCUGAGGUCAGGAGUUUGAGACCAACCUGGCUAACAUCGUGAAAUCCCAUCUCCACUAAAAAAAAAAAAAAAUUUAGCCGGGCAUGGUGGCGGGCACCUGUAAUCCCAGGUACUCUGGAGGCUGAGGCAGGAGAAUCGCUUGAACCUGGGAGGUAGAGGUUGCAGUGAGCCGAGAUCACGCCGCUGCACUCCAGUCUUGGCGACAGAGCGAGACUCCGUCUCAAAAAAAAAAAAAAAAAAAAAAGGAAAACAGGAACAGAGGAGUGGUGUGUAGGAGGAAACAUACAUUCAGGACACAGAAUCAGGGGGCUCUGGACUUCUUUGGUAUCCAGUCUGACUCUCUGAGUGUCCUUUGUCAAGCUCCUGGCACUGAGGGACCUGCGUUUCCUCAUCUUUACUGAUGGUGCUGGUGUGUGUGUGAACCCUGAUAUUCUGAAUUACUAAGAAUGCCAGGAUUCCAUAAAAACAACCUUUUCCAGGGUCCCUUCCACACGGAAGGUAUGCAGAAACUUGGGACUACCUAAGGUCCAUCAUCCAUUUGGGACCAGCCCCCUUCCCAUUUUACAGAUCGUUUGAGCCUGGGAGGUUGAAGCUGUGGUGAGCCAUGAGCUCCACUGCACUCCAGCCUAGGCAACACAACAAGACCCUGUCUCAAAAAACAUAAAAUUUCUGUCCCCAGGCCGGGCGCAGUGGCUCACGCCUGUAAUCCCAGCACUUUGGGAGCACCCUUUUCCUGGAAUGAGUGAGGUACUCGUGUUUCAUAAUCCCUCUGGCCCCUGUGCUUCUUCCAUUAAAAUAAAUCCAAGGCUGGGCACGGUGGCUCAAGCCUGUAAUCCCAGCACUUUGAGAGGCUGAGGUGGGAGGAUCACUUGAGGCCAGGAUUUCAAGAUCAGCCUGGCCAACAUGGAGAAACCCCGUCUCUACUAAAAAUACAAAAAUUAGCCAGGCGUGGUGGUGCAUGCCUGUAAUCCCAGCUACUCAGGAAGCUGAGGCACAAGAGUUGCCUGAUCCCAGGAGGCGGAGGUUGCAGUGAGCCGAGAUCGGAGGGACUCCAGACUGGUCCUGGUGGGGGCUGAGGGAUUGGGAUGAAGUCAGUUCACCGCUGACUGCAGUGCCUGUUGGGAGAGAGGACAGCAGUGAGGGAGUCAUGGACACUCCAACCUUCUUCUCCCCACACUCCUCACCAUAAUUGCUGUGAACUGCAGAGACUGGACACCCCAACAAUGCCUAGCUCAUGCCUGUAAUCUCAACACUUUGGGAGGCCGAGGUGGGAGGUUCGCUUGAGCCUAGGAGUUCAAGACCAGCCUGGGCAAUGCAGUGAGACCCAGUCUCUACAAAAAAUAAAAAUAAAAAUAUUAGCCAGGUGUGGUGGCCUCCCAAAAUGCUAGGAUUAUAGGAGUGAGCCACCAUGCCCGGCCAAUUUAUGGAUAUUACUUCUUUGAAAUUUUCAAGACUCCUAUGAGGAAAGUAGUUGUUCUUUCUCUUUGACAAACUGAGGCACAGAGCUGUUCCAAGACCUGUCCAAGGUCCUGAUGUCUAGAGUGCAGCCAUCUCUGCUCUCAGUCCUCAUCUCCAGCCUGUGCUUCAGUUUCCACCCCAGAAUAACUGGACAGGCCAGGCACAGUGGCUCAUGCCUGUAAUCCCAGCACUUUGGGAGGCCAAGGCGGGAGGAUCGCCUGAGGUCAGGAGUUCAAGAUCAGCCUGGCCAACAUGGUGAAACCCUGUCUCUACUAAAAAUACAAAAAUUAGCUGGGCGUGGUGGCACAUACCUGUAAUCCCAGCUACUCGGGAUGCUGAGGCGAGAGGAUUGCUUGAGCCCAGGAGGCAGAGGUUGCAGUGAGCUGAGAUAGCAUCACUGCACUCCAGCCUGGGAGACAAGAGAGGAACUCCAUCUCAAAAAAAAG